GUUUACUGAUUGUAAGCGUCGCAAUCCCAUCAAUCCAUCGUAAAUCUUGGACGCACAUGUUCCAACUACGUUAAUAAAUUUAAACGAUUUUUCCCAGACUAUGCAAAUGGACGCUUCAGCUUAACCCUUAAACACCCCCAAUUAGAACAAUUACCCGGUUUUUUUAAAUUUGUUGGUGCAUUCAUGCCGCCCAUUUCUUAAACAAGGACAGAGUUUAUAGUGACAGUAUAAGCACAUGUUUCUCGAAUACUUUUCACCCAUCACCAAGUAUAAUUGAGUACACUUUUCCCAAAAUAAAUCAACGAAGCUCCAUUCAUCCGUAAAAGGGUCUAUCCACUGCAUCAUUGAAGGUUCGUUUAUUACUGAUUCUCUAACCCUCACGAGGCGCAGGUAU
Molecule: long non-coding RNA, 394 nt
Organism: Photinus pyralis (common eastern firefly)
Lineage: Eukaryota; Metazoa; Arthropoda; Insecta; Coleoptera; Lampyridae
Exons: 3
Source: RefSeq, a predicted model, not a curated record